RNAcentral lists this long non-coding RNA (2979 nucleotides) under Sus scrofa (pig). Its description in RNAcentral is "lncRNA (ENSSSCG00000058066.1)". The record is from RNAcentral. Lineage: Eukaryota; Metazoa; Chordata; Mammalia; Artiodactyla; Suidae.
UGAUUUGAACUAUGGCACUUUGCUGAUUCUCAGCAUAAGCUAGUUAUUUUUCUCUGCUUUCCUUAUGAAUUCUUCCCCACCCCUCCACCGUUUCCCCCUCUGCUUGAAAGGUGAGCCACCAGCCUGCAGAGACAAAUCCAAGCCUGCAGGCGUGGCAUUCAUAGGAGCAGAGGAGAGGGCGUCCUGCACAUGGGUGGGCUCUGGGGCAGACUGCAAAGGCGAGAAGCAGCAGUGCAAACCCUGACCCUGCCGCCCAUCUGCCCUGUGACUCCAGGCAGUUUGCCUCACUUGCCUGAACUUGAGAUUGUCUUACAAAGAUGGAAAAGGAAACAUAUGCUUUUAGGUUGGGUAACUAAAGCGAUGAUAGACCAAUGCUGCUAAUAGUAAUUAUUAUCUAACAGUCCUUAAAAGCUCAUUUUGUGCCACAUGCUUACCCAUAUGAUCUGUCAUCCUUACAACAGUCAUUCGAAGUACUUUUAGCUCAAUUUUAUUUUUUAAUUUUUAUUUUUUUCUCUUAAAGCUGUACCUGUGGCAUAUGAAAGUCCCCAGGCUAGGGGUAGAAUUGGAGCCAUAGCUGCUGGCCUACGACAUAGCCACAGCAAUGCCAGAUCCAGGCUGCAUCUGUGACCUGUGCUGCAGCUUGUGGCAAUGCUGGAUCCUUAACCCACUGAGCAAAGCCAGGGAUGGAACCCACAUCCUCACAGACAUUAUGUUGGGUUCUUAACUCGCUGAGCCACAACAGGAACUACCUUUUAGCUCAUUGUUGUAAGUACCCCUCUGUCUUCAUAUCUACAUAUCCUUUUGGGGCUACCACAGGGGGCUCCACCAGGAUCCAGAACACCCCAACUUCCUGCAGUGGACUGUAUCUCCUGCCCGUCCCAUCCCUGGAGAGCUGCCGUUCGAGAGUAUUGUGGUAGCACCUUCUGCCUUUGGAGACCCUAUUGUUCCUCAGGAUCAAGGCAGAGUCCUAGCCAAACUUUGAUUUUGUCAAAGAUCUUAGCUCUGGUGCCCAAUCCAAAGUGCUGCUUCAAAAGUUCUCUUUUGAGUUAAACUGGCACCAUCUUGUCUCUGCAUUCGGAUUUUUUCUUUCUUAUCUCGGGUGUCAAGAAUUUUUCCCUCUGUUUGUUCCAGGACCACCUGGACAUUUAUUUUUGUUGUGCACUGCAGUCUUUUUCUUUUUCUUUUUUCACAUUGUGCAUGUUUUUUCAGUUGACAACCGGAACCAGUUGAUCAUGCUGCUCAUCCACUGCUUAUGUGCUUUUUACACGUUAUGGUUUGUUUUGGAUUUUGGAAAACUCAUUAUCCAAGCAAAGAAGAGCAACAGGGGAUAAAGAGAAUAGUACGGUUAAAAGGGCUUCUGGAUCUCUAAUCUUCUUCCAUCUUUACAGUCUUUCGGGCUUUGGCUUUCUUAUAAAGAUGAGGCUCCAUCUAGGUGGCUGUCUUGGUAUCAUGGUCAGUGAAGCAAAUCAUGCCCAUGUCAGUGUAGGCCCUUUCCCAGUUUUUGGACCAUGGUUCCAGAUUCUUAUUUCUUCAUAAAAUUUCUAAAAUCCAUGGAAUGUUUGGUUGCAACUCAAAACAGUUUUCAUCCAAUCAGAUGACCUGGAAUGCCUCUCUCUUUUCUUCCUCAUUUCCUCUGCCAUUAACAGCUUCCUUGCCUUCGUCUUCUUCCUCUUCAGGAAAAGAGCUGUCCCUCUUUCCAUCUUGCUGACAGAUGUAGUUCGUUUUCUCUGGGAUUCUGUGUCAAACUCAUUAUUAAAGAGGACCUGGUCAAACAGAUGUGGUUGGAAAGGGGUGGGUUCCACUGGAGGGUUGAGAGUUCCAUAGAAGUUUCCAACGUCCUUUCCACUUUCUAAUAAUGCUCCAUUCUCUUAGUGCUUUGCGCUGUUCAAUAGUAGAGUCCAGCCCUGGUGCUUCCCCAUCCCUGGGGACCCUUGUAGUUUGUGGAAUGGUUCUCAAAAAGAGAUUAUCUCUGAUCACUUGCUGCAAUUUGGGGUCAAUUGCUUCCCUUGGAGGGUCUCCUAGGGGAAGGGGGUGCAGCUGUGGCCCACCCUGGGGACACAGCCACGGUGGUGGCCAUAUCAGGGAGUAAUCAUCAGCAUGAACUCUUACUGGAGGCGGACAUCCUGCAUGGGCCAUCAGCACCUGCACACUGCAAUCUUGAAAACCAUUUAGGAAGCCUUGCUUUCUCAAAGGGGUACCGAAUGUGCAACUGUAGAAAACAUGAAUAAGAAAUAAAUCAAAGUUUGAUGCUCUCCAGAUGAACUUGAUUUGGGGUGAUAACUAUGUUUGUACUAGUUAGAAGUGAAAAUAACAGAGUCGCUAGUUGACUACUUACAAGAUUGUUUCUUAAGGAAUGGGUAAGAUAUGGUAAUUGGCUUCUCUAUUUUAAUUAUUUUCCAAUGCAACACAUACAGUUCUGCUCCAGGACCAUGAGAAAUAUGCCAACUUACUUGUAAUUUACUCUACUUUCCUUGAAAAUAGUGCUUUGUUUCUUAUAGAGCUUUCAGAAAUCCUUACCAAUGCUUUUGAUAGAUAUCUGUGCAGAGUACUUGGCAAAGAGAAAAUGCAUCACAUAUCUGCCAGAAUAACCAAAAAGGAGAUAUUUAUAACGAGGUGACAAAUGAAAACUAUUUCCACAGAGAACCUGGGGUACAAAUUUUACUGUUGAAACGAUUUCUAAAAAAGUUAUUAGAGACAUCUGAAUUAGCCAUAAUAAAAGCUAGCUGAAAGUCAAAAUUAGCCUGAAGUAGGAAUAUCAGUUUGGUUCAGUUGUGUGACAGAAACAAGUCAGACUUCCUUAUGGAGCUUUAGGAAAAGCCACUUUUUAAAAUUUACAUCUGUAUUUUUCCCCAUGUGUCUUGUGAGGACAGAGAGAAGCGGAUGGGGGCAGAGACAGGACCAGUGAGGAUGAGGGCAGUACUUUGUCAGCAUUGAUACAAGAGGCCAUAGAAUGAAUUUUGAAAAAGUUUUUGUGUACCG